GGGGAUAUAGUUCAGUGCUAGAGUGUGUGCCUAGCAUGCAUAAGGCCCUGGGUUCAAUUCUCAGUGCCA
This 69-nucleotide transfer RNA is filed under the name Fukomys damarensis (Damara mole-rat). It matches the Rfam family "tRNA". From Rfam's summary of the family: Transfer RNA (tRNA) molecules are approximately 80 nucleotides in length. The record is from Rfam by way of RNAcentral. Lineage: Eukaryota; Metazoa; Chordata; Mammalia; Rodentia; Bathyergidae.